CGCCUGUUUAUCAAAAACAUCGCCUCUUGCCAAAAAUAUAAGAGGUCCCGCCUGCCCAGUGACAGGAUUUAACGGCCGCGGUACUCUGACCGUGCGAAGGUAGCACAAUCACUUGUUCUUUAAAUGAGGACUAGAAUCAAUGGCAUCACGAGGGUCCCACUGUCUCCUUUUUCUAAUCAGUGGAAAUUGGAUUUCCCCGUGAAGAAGCGGGGAUAACCUUAUAAGACGAGAAGACCCCAUGGAGCUUCAAACUCAACGGAUAACUCUAUAACCCAUAAGAUAUUUUAAGGGACCUAUCCGCUAGUUUUGGGUUGGGGUGACCACGGAGAACAGCCUAACCUCCGUAAUGAAAAGAAUAAAAUCAUAAUCCAAGAGCUACACCUCUAAGAAUUAACAAAUUAACAUACAAUGAUCCAAUUUUUUAUUGAUCAAUGAACCAAGUUACCCUGGGGAUAACAGCGCUAUCCACUUCUAGAGUCCAUAUCGCCAAGUGGGUUUACGACCUCAUGUUGGAUCAGGGUGUCCAAGUGGUGCAGCCGCUACUAAAGGUUCGUUUGUUCAACGAUUAAAACCCUACGUGAUCUGAGUUCAGACCGGA
Molecule: ribosomal RNA, 598 nt
Filed under: Ptychadena neumanni
Lineage: Eukaryota; Metazoa; Chordata; Amphibia; Anura; Ptychadenidae
Description: partial 16S ribosomal RNA
Rfam family: Bacterial large subunit ribosomal RNA
Source: RNAcentral